AGAGUUUGAUCCUGGCUCAGGAUGAACGCUGGCGGCGUGCCUAAUACAUGCAAGUCGAGCGAACGGACGAGAAGCUUGCUUCUCUGAUGUUAGCGGCGGACGGGUGAGUAACACGUGGAUAACCUACCUAUAAGACUGGGAUAACUUCGGGAAACCGGAGCUAAUACCGGAUAAUAUUUUGAACCGCAUGGUUCAAAAGUGAAAGACGGUCUUGCUGUCACUUAUAGAUGGAUCCGCGCUGCAUUAGCUAGUUGGUAAGGUAACGGCUUACCAAGGCAACGAUGCAUAGCCGACCUGAGAGGGUGAUCGGCCACACUGGAACUGAGACACGGUCCAGACUCCUACGGGAGGCAGCAGUAGGGAAUCUUCCGCAAUGGGCGAAAGCCUGACGGAGCAACGCCGCGUGAGUGAUGAAGGUCUUCGGAUCGUAAAACUCUGUUAUUAGGGAAGAACAUAUGUGUAAGUAACUGUGCACAUCUUGACGGUACCUAAUCAGAAAGCCACGGCUAACUACGUGCCAGCAGCCGCGGUAAUACGUAGGUGGCAAGCGUUAUCCGGAAUUAUUGGGCGUAAAGCGCGCGUAGGCGGUUUUUUAAGUCUGAUGUGAAAGCCCACGGCUCAACCGUGGAGGGUCAUUGGAAACUGGAAAACUUGAGUGCAGAAGAGGAAAGUGGAAUUCCAUGUGUAGCGGUGAAAUGCGCAGAGAUAUGGAGGAACACCAGUGGCGAAGGCGACUUUCUGGUCUGUAACUGACGCUGAUGUGCGAAAGCGUGGGGAUCAAACAGGAUUAGAUACCCUGGUAGUCCACGCCGUAAACGAUGAGUGCUAAGUGUUAGGGGGUUUCCGCCCCUUAGUGCUGCAGCUAACGCAUUAAGCACUCCGCCUGGGGAGUACGACCGCAAGGUUGAAACUCAAAGGAAUUGACGGGGACCCGCACAAGCGGUGGAGCAUGUGGUUUAAUUCGAAGCAACGCGAAGAACCUUACCAAAUCUU
RNAcentral lists this ribosomal RNA (993 nucleotides) under Staphylococcus aureus M0567. Its description in RNAcentral is "bacterial SSU rRNA". It matches the Rfam family "Bacterial small subunit ribosomal RNA", at positions 8 to 982 of the family's 1533-position model. Lineage: Bacteria; Bacillati; Bacillota; Bacilli; Caryophanales; Staphylococcaceae. The record is from RNAcentral. RNAcentral also lists the same sequence under 1 other name.